GGUGCAUCUCUAUAGUUCCAACUGGCCUGGCCCCAUAACAACAGUGCAUAGUUGUUCCCUGGAGGCCUCAGUGUUUCUUUGUUAAAACCAGGACACUGAAGGCAACGAGUUGUUUUCCAGCUAUAACUUUUCAGAACUCUAUGUUUCUGAAUCUAUUGGUGUCCACACUGAUCUAGGACUUUACUAAUGGUUCAAUGCUUCUGCCUUCCAGGAAAAGUACCAAAAAAAGAUUGGAAUCUCAGGGUUAGGGGCUUUGCUGACCAGGCUUUCUUCUGUGGGUGACAGUUGAGCUCAAAUGAUUCACUUUAAGUAGUUAUUCAAAGGGCACAGGAAGCAGAUGGUUGGCUAGGAGUUUUAAGUCAGUGGCUUGGGAAAGAACUCUGGGGAAAAUUGAGGUAAAACUUGGGGAUAUUUCUGACUGAUUUAGAUGUGGCAUGCUUUGGUGCAAAUUCAAUUGAGGGGAGCUGGAGAUUUAGAUCAGUGGCACUGUGUCUCCAUUACAAGUGCAAGGUCCUGAGUUCGAUCCCUGCUACUGGAAAAAAAAAUUCAAUCGAGGAGAGGGUGUGGUAGUACACGACUGUCUGAAUGAUAACCCAGGUAUAUCUGAGGUUAGAAUACCAUUGGGUUUGCUAUCUUGUUUUAUUCUUUUUCAAUUUCUUUCCCUUUGUCUCUUCCUCCCCAUUUUCUCUCCUUAGACCAGCGGAUGGUAGUUUUAGCACCUAGCUCUAACUCCCUUGUGGUUCAGGGGUGUGUUCUCUGAUUUUAGUAUAGGCCUGCUGUCAUCACUGCUGAAUAUUGUACCCACAGCCUCUUCUGCCAGCAGCCAAGAUUGCUGCUGUCUUGUCUUCCUCUGAACUCACUGUAUUAUUGUAAGGUUUCAUAGCAGCAAGGAGAUGCUUGCAGUUGUCCGUUAUAUUUCCAUGGUUCUCCGGAACAGACACACUUCUGAGUGUGUCCAGUUGUUCUUACCGGAGAGGGUGCAGCUCUCGUGUGAGUACAGCAUUCAGACACAAUGCUCUGAAGUCAGGCACAGAUGAAGAAGGCUUGAGAAGAGCUGCCUCAGGAAAGGACUGGUGUUGUAUUCUGCUGUAUCUCAGUUGUUCUGGGUGAAUCAUUUUGCUUGAGUGGAUUUGGAGUUCAGGCCAUCUCACACAGGCACGAGGGUGGUGGCCCAGACUGUGUCCCUAUGUCUGUUGGGUAUAACUGGUAUCAUAAUAGGCCACAGAAAGUCUCAGCCACAAGAUAACUCUGGGAUAUGUCAACGUGUCAUUUCAUUUUACAAGACCGUUAUGAUUUCAACCUAAAACUAAAAAGUGGCA
Molecule: long non-coding RNA, 1319 nt
Filed under: Fukomys damarensis (Damara mole-rat)
Lineage: Eukaryota; Metazoa; Chordata; Mammalia; Rodentia; Bathyergidae
Description: lncRNA (ENSFDAG00000029177.1)
Source: RNAcentral